UGGUUGCUGUGAGACCGAAAGCAGAUCCCGUCGGUGUCGAGGCGGACCUUUCUUUCUGUCGGUUCUUGGAACCAGCCUACCGCGCCACGCGUCAGCCUUUGGCCCCCCAACUACAGCGCCCGCUGGGCUCCCCUCAGCAGCAGCAGCAGAGGCGGCGGCGGCGGCAGCAGCUCCUCUUCCGCUUCCUCCCCCCAUAUUCCCUGCGCAGCCCGCGGAAGGGGGGGGGCGCUCCCUGCAGCUCCGCCUGCUGGUUCACUGAGGAAGGUGACGGGGCCUCCCUGAAGAGGCCAGAGGGCUUGAGGAGGGACGGCGGGAUCUGCCAUCCGGCUGCCCUGCUCCGCUUCUCUCCUCCGAGAAGAGCCGCGCCAAAACCAACCGGCUUGGAGGUCGCUGCAGGUCCGGUCCUUGCCCUGGCGGGGAGCGGAGGAAGCAAAAUCUGCCGGCGAAUGCUCGCUAACUCUGCGUGCAAUAAAAUUGGAGUUCCAACAAAGGAGACAUUUCUCAGAGAGAAGUCUACCUAUGGAAGUAUGCAGACAAUAUAAGAAUUUGGAAUACUUUUAAAAAACACAAUCCAUCACAUCUGAUAAAAUGCCUACCAUUGUUAUUUCACAGAAAAAAAUAAAGCUAAAAAUAGCAACUUGAAAAAUCUUGGGAAUGUAUGUUGCUAAGUGGAAGUGGAAUAUAGUCAAUCUAUAUGCGAAGCUAACUGGAGAGCCAAUGAAUUCAACCCGUCAGUCAGAACAGAGCUGGAGGGGACCUUGAAGGAUCAAUCCACCCUACCCAUGCCAGCAGAGAGAACAUGCUAUGGGCUCAAUCAAUCAGAAAAUUAGAGUGGGAGGGGUCCAGGAGAAAAGAUCUCUCUGCCAUGGCUGCUGCCCUUUGGACCUUCAUAUCCCCAGAGGUGAGAUCUACACCAACACUCUUGACCUUCCAUAAGGGCCUGAAGACUUGGCUCUGCCAGAGGGCCUGGGGGCCCAAUUGUGGGGAGGUAUCACUCUGGAAGUGAUUAGUAAAUUGAGGUAAGGCCCCACCUCUAUCUCUUUGUGCUUUCUCCCCCCUCUUUUAAUGAUUUUUUUUAGCAUAACUAUAAUUAUUAUUAUAACUGUCUUAGUUUUAAUAUUUGUAAAUGCCCAAAAUUGCCUCUGGAUGAGAUGGGUGGCUUACAUAAAUCCAGUGAAUAAAUAAAUAAAAAUGUCUUUAGCUUCAGGGCAAACUGGUCUCAACCACAAUUCUGCACAAAAGAUGGUAAUAAUCAUAGGAUCAUAGACUGUUUACAAGCAAUUAUCAUCUGCAUUCUGAAUUGUUCCAGCCAGUCCAAUAUCUCAGUUUACACCACAAUAAUUUUAUCAUUCUACCUCAUGCAUGUAUCAAAAAGAUGAUCUCAUUUGCAAUUCUUUGAGAAGCUGUAAGUAUAGUCUAAUGCAGGGGUGUCAAACCCGAUUGCAUCGUGGGCAGUAUUGUGAUGUAUCGUGGUGGGCGUGGCCCAUGUGGGCCAUAUGUGGCCUGCGGGCUGCCAGUUUGACUGGCCUGGUCUAAUGGACAUGGAAGGAUAGAGUGAGACAGAAUCUCAAAAGUAAUGUCAGUAAAAUGCAGCUGGGUUUGGAGAAACAAACAGCCACUACUCAAUUUAUUAGCAACUAAAGUAGCACAAAAUAUUUGCAAGGCUAUUUUAGUAUACAUCCUGCCAAAGUAAGCAUUAGAAGGCACUAAUCUACCUUACUUGAUGUGGAAAAAGAUAAGUAUUUGGAGAUAUUUAAAACAAAAUCAAAAGGAAGCAAUGGCAAACCAUUUCUUUGUUGUAACCAAAGAAAUAUACAUAGAAGUUGUCCAUGUAAUCACCAGGAGUUUAACUUGACUUAGAAGAGAGUAUACUUCAUUUUAGAAUACUAGCAGAUAAUCUCACUAAAUGUUAGUUUUGGAACAGGAGAUAAAUUUAUAAAUGUACAAAAUAUUUCAACUCAAUUCAAUGCAAUAAAGCAAAAAAAGAUUUUUUUUAAGAAGUCUUUCUAGAAGUUUGAAAACCCUGCAAAAUGAAAGACUGUGGUAUUGGAAAACAGCACUGUAUUUAAAUAGUGCUUUGACAAACCUAGUAAAAUGAUGCAACUCCCGAAGGGCAAGCAACAGAUGAACAGAAAUUACCAUUCUAAUACUUAAUCCCUAGAUAAAAAUUGUGAAUGCUUGCCUUCACUUACAUUGCUGCCUUACUUUUAUGUGGAUUGGAAAAAGGGUUAGCAAUUACACAAAGUCUCUUAAUACAACAGUGGACAACUUUCCUUGAGUCAGGGGUGAUUUCCCUGACUAGCUGUAGACUACAGACCAAAGUCUCUCAAUUUUGGCAACUUUAAGGUAUGUGGAGUUCAACUCCCAGAAUUUUCAUGCCAGCUGGGGAUUAUAUAAAUUGAAACUUCUUAAAUUUUCCAUUUCCCACUUUUCAAAACAUAUUCCAAACCCAAACUCAGAUCACAAACUUUGGUAGCAAAAGGGCCAAAUAAAAACAAAUUUGGAUUGUUUGGGGAAGCUGGUAGGACUAAAGAUGGAAAUGAUAGAAAACUUUUCAUUCCCACUAUUUUUUUAUAAAAUAAAAAUGGGUUCUGCCAUGAAAAGUAUGUGCAUGUGUAUUUGCUUGCUUGCUUGCAUGUGUAAAUUAAGAGUUAACCAUACAAAAGGGAAAGUUAACUUUAUCUGUUGACAGCAUGAGCUAUCUACACAAAUAAAAGCUGAAAUUUAUCAAAUCAAUGAACAAAUGCCCACAUUUCCUAUUUAUGAUUAUAUACUGUAUUAUACAUUAUAUUCUAGUCCCUUCUUAAUACUUAUUCAUCUUUGUAUUGCAAUGAAGGUUUUUUUUUUUCUAACUGUAAAUUACACAUUUGAGAGAUAGGACAAACCUAGAGAAACCUUUAUGACAAAUGCCAUGGUAAUAGGUGAACUGUUAAGUGAUUAUUACGGAGACUAAUAAUUGCUUUGUACACUGGAGGCAUAGAAAAUAAUUAUUAGUGGUACAUUUUGUCAUACUUAAAGCAGACCUGCUAAAAUACACUGUAACUGAUUGUAAAUAAUUUGAAUAGUUCUCCUAUGCCUACAUCUAUUCCACUGACACUUUUGUUCAUUGUUAAUAUAGGUGUCCUAUUCCAUUUCUUCCUUUUGCUUAAGUCUUCCAUUAUUCACAUAUUAAAAAUGGUAGAAUUUUAUCCUGAUUUUGGUGAGACUACUGGGCAUUACAGAUUACUCCAUAUCUAUCUUUCUAAAGUCAGUAAAUACAAAAACAUUUCAUGCCAGACAUCAGAACCACUUGAGCAAGGUGAUAGUAUGGCACACUAGUCGUUAACAUGUUUUAAAGUCGAAAGAAUGCUGCAUAAGCUUGGAAAACACGUAACAGUGAAGGCAAAUCUUAGGCAAGUUCAUGACACAGGAAUUUACGUUGUUCCUUUGGACACUCCCUAACCUCUGCCUGAGACUGCCCCCCCACCCCCGCCUCAAGAGGAAUUAAUUCUAUCAGAAUGACACUACUACGUAACCCAAGCUAAUGCUAUGCAUGUAUGC
Molecule: long non-coding RNA, 3540 nt
Organism: Ahaetulla prasina
Lineage: Eukaryota; Metazoa; Chordata; Lepidosauria; Squamata; Colubridae
Exons: 5
Source: RefSeq, a predicted model, not a curated record